UAGGGAAUAUUAGUUAAUGUGCGAAAGCGCGAACUAGCAACGCCGCGUGUGCAAUGAAGGUCUUCGGAUCGUAAAGCACUUUUCGAGAAGAUGAGGAAGGACAGUACUCUCGGAAUAAGUCUCGGCUAACUACGUGCCAGCAGCCGCGGUAAAACGUAGGAGGCAAGCGUUAUCCGGAUUUACUGGGCGUAAAGCGCGUGCAGGCGGUUUGGUAAGUUGGAUGUGAAAGCUCCCGGCUCAACUGGGAGAGGUCGUUCAAAACUACCAGACUUGAGGGCGGUAGAGGGAAGUGGAAUUCCGUGUGUAGUGGUGAAAUGCGUAGAUAUACGGAGGAAUACCAGUGGCGAAAGCGGCCUCCUGGCCCAUUUCUGACGCUCAGACGCGAAAGCUAGGGUAGCAAACGG
This 404-nucleotide ribosomal RNA is filed under the name uncultured bacterium. RNAcentral's name for it is "bacterial SSU rRNA". It matches the Rfam family "Bacterial small subunit ribosomal RNA", at positions 355 to 775 of the family's 1533-position model. The record is from RNAcentral.